AUUAAAUAGAGUUUGAUCCUAGCUCAGGAUGAACGCUGGCGGCGUGGAUAAGGCAUGCAAGUUGAACGGAACUAAUCAGAUGGAAGUAUCAAAUGAGUAGCAAUACAAGUGAGAUAUGGAAGCCUGACAGUUUAGUAGCAAACGAGGUAGUAAUAUUUAGGAACGCACCCCGAAGUCAUGAAUAGCCCAUCGAAAGGUGGAGUAAUACAUGAUGGUACCGCAAGGUUAAAGAUUUAUCGCUUCGGGAGCGGCUUAAACAGUAUCAGCUAGUUGGUAAGGUAAUGGCUUACCAAGGCUAUGACGCUUAGGAGAGGUGAGAGCCUGACCUCCACCGAUGGGACUGCGACACGGCCCAUACACCUACGGGUGGCUGCAGUCGAGAAUCUUCCACAAUGGACGAAAGUCUGAUGGAGCGACGCCGCGUGAUCGAUGAAGUGCUUCGGUAUGUAAAGAUCUUUUAUGAGGGAAGAAGUUUAUUGACGGUACCUCAUGAAUAAGGACCUGCAAAACUCGUGCCAGCAGCAGCGGUAAUACGAGUGGUCCAAGCGUUAUCCGGAAUUAUUGGGCGUAAAGGAUGUGUAGGUGGUUGUGUUAGUCGAAUGUCUAACCUCUGUGCUCAACAUGGAGACAGCAUUCGAAACGGCACGACUAGAGUAUGUUAGGGGUAAGCGGAACUCAUAGUGUAGGGGUGAAAUCCGUUGAUAUUAUGGGGAACACCAAAAGCGAAGGCAGCUUACUGGAACAUUACUGACACUGAAACAUGAAAGCGUGGGUAGCGAAUGGGAUUAGAUACCCCAGUAGUCCACGCCCUAAACGAUGUUCUCUCGCUAUGAAAAGUAUCGACCCUUUUCGUGGCUUAGCUAACGCGGUAAGAGAACCGCCUGGGAAGUACGAUCGCAAGAUUAAAACUCAAAGGAAUAGACGGGGAGACGCACAAGCAGUGGAUUAUGUGGUUUAAUUCGAUGGUAAACGAAGAACCUCACCAGGAUUUGAAACUCACGAGAAAGCCUAAGGAAACUCUGGCCCCCGCAAGGCUCGUGGACAGGUGAUGCAUGGCCGUCGUCAGUUCGUGGUUUGAACUGUUCCCUUCAGUGGGGUAACGAACGCAACCCUUAUCGCGUGUUACAAGUGUCACGCGAGACUGCCCCGUAACGUGUACUGGAGUUUGAUAGCAAUAUUAGAUUCGAGUGCACAUUACGGGGAGGAAGGAGAGGAUGACGCCAGGUCAGCAUGUCCCUUUGACAUCCUGGGCUACACACAUAAUACAAUCGCAUCGACAACGGGUCGCGACGGGGUAACCCUGAGCCAAUCCUUCAAACGAUGCGCCAGUUCAGAUUGUGGUCUGCAACUCGACCACAUGAAGCCGGAAUUGCUAGUAAUCGCGGGUCAGCGAAACCGCGGUGAAUACGUUCUCGUCUCUUGUACUCACUGCCCGUCAACUCAAGGGAGCCGGGGGUACCCAAAGGCUUGGCUUGUCCAGGACUAAGGUAAAUUCGGUGACAGGGAGUAAGUCGUAACAAGGCACGGCUAGCGGAAGCUGGUCGUGGAUUAAUUCAAUG
This 1559-nucleotide ribosomal RNA is filed under the name Minisyncoccota bacterium. RNAcentral's name for it is "bacterial SSU rRNA". It matches the Rfam family "Bacterial small subunit ribosomal RNA". The record is from RNAcentral. Lineage: Bacteria; Bacillati; Minisyncoccota.